AUUGAACGCUGGCGGCAGGCCUAACACAUGCAAGUCGAGCGGAUGAAGGGAGCUUGCUCCUGGAUUCAGCGGAGGACGGGUGAGUAAUGCCUAGGAAUCUGCCUGGUAGUGGGGGAUAACGUCCGGAAACGGGCGCUAAUACCGCCUACGUCCUGCGGGAGAAAGUGGGGGAUCUUCGGACCUCACGCUCUCAGAUGAGCCUAGGUCGGAUUAGCUAGUUGGUGGGGUAAAGGCCUACUCAGGCGACGAUCCGUAACUGGUCUGAGAGGAUGAUCAGUCACACUGGAACUGAGACACGGUCCAGACUCCUACGGGAGGCAGCAGUGGGGAAUAUUAGACAAUGGGCGAAAGCCUGAUCCAGCCAUGCCGCGUGUGUGAAGAAGGUCUUCGGAGUGUAAAGCACUUUAAGUUGGGAGGAAGGGCAGUAAGUUAAUACCUUGCUGUUUUGACGUUACCAACAGAAUAAGCACCGGCUAACUUCGUG
This 484-nucleotide ribosomal RNA is filed under the name uncultured bacterium. RNAcentral's name for it is "partial 16S ribosomal RNA". It matches the Rfam family "Bacterial small subunit ribosomal RNA", at positions 30 to 507 of the family's 1533-position model. The record is from RNAcentral.